AGCAGUGAAGAAGAGGAAAAUGAUGUACCGCAAUCAUGUAAAACUUAUAAGAGGAAAGCAAACAGUAUGAAUAAAAUUUCUGCUAUUCCAGCCUGUCCGGACAAUUUAAGAUUAAACAAUAAUAAUGAAAACAAUGUAAAUGAUAUGAAUGACUUUCCACUUUCACAAUCUUAUGAAAAAAGGAAGAGUUCAUGCACAAAUCCCAGUUCAAAUUCUGAA
Molecule: long non-coding RNA, 219 nt
Organism: Camponotus floridanus (Florida carpenter ant)
Lineage: Eukaryota; Metazoa; Arthropoda; Insecta; Hymenoptera; Formicidae
Exons: 3
Source: RefSeq, a predicted model, not a curated record